GAUGAAGAACGCAGUGAAAUGCGAUAAGUAAUGUGAAUUGCAGAAUUCAGUGAAUCAUCGAAUCUUUGAACGCAUCUUGCGCUCCUUGGUAUUCUGAGGAGCAUACCUGUUUGAGUGUCAUUAAAUUCUCAACUACACUGACUUUGAAUUGGUGUGGCUUGGAUUUGGGGGGAAAAUUGUUGUGGGCUUUUUGUAUAGUCUGCUCCCCUGAAAUUGAUUAGCGGUACCUUUGUGGAACUGUCUACAGGUGUGAUAAUUAUCUACAUCUUAGACAUCUGCUGGAAUGCUGCUUUCUAAACCUUACUUGUAUUGACAAUCUUGACCUCAAAUCAGGUAGGACUACCCGCUGAACUUAAGCAUAUCAAUAAGCGGAGGA
This 376-nucleotide unclassified non-coding RNA is filed under the name soil metagenome. RNAcentral's name for it is "partial contains 5.8S ribosomal RNA, internal transcribed spacer 2, and large subunit ribosomal RNA". The stretch from base 1 to 120 matches the Rfam family "5.8S ribosomal RNA", at positions 35 to 154 of the family's 154-position model. The record is from RNAcentral.